CUCGAGCGGCGAACGGGUGAGUAACACGUGAGCAACCUGCCCUAGGCUUUGGGAUAACCCCGGGAAACCGGGGCUAAUACCGAAUAGGACCUCUGACCGCAUGGUUGGUGGUGGAAAGUUUUUCGGCCUGGGAUGGGCUCGCGGCCUAUCAGCUUGUUGGUGGGGUGAUGGCCUACCAAGGCGACGACGGGUAGCCGGCCUGAGAGGGCGACCGGCCACACUGGGACUGAGACACGGCCCAGACUCCUACGGGAGGCAGCAGUGGGGAAUAUUGCACAAUGGGCGGAAGCCUGAUGCAGCGACGCCGCGUGAGGGAUGACGGCCUUCGGGUUGUAAACCUCUUUCAGCAGGGACGAAGCGUAAGUGACGGUACCUGCAGAAGAAGCGCCGGCCAACUACGUGCCAGCAGCCGCGGUAAGACGUAGGGCGCGAGCGUUGUCCGGAUUUAUUGGGCGUAAAGAGCUCGUAGGCGGCUUGUCGCGUCGACUGUGAAAACCCGCAGCUCAACUGCGGGCCUGCAGUCGAUACGGGCAGGCUAGAGUUCGGUAGGGGAGACUGGAAUUCCUGGUGUAGCGGUGAAAUGCGCAGAUAUCAGGAGGAACACCGGUGGCGAAGGCGGGUCUCUGGGCCGAUACUGACGCUGAGGAGCGAAAGCGUGGGGAGCGAACAG
RNAcentral lists this ribosomal RNA (670 nucleotides) under Micromonospora sp. YIM 78104. Its description in RNAcentral is "bacterial SSU rRNA". It matches the Rfam family "Bacterial small subunit ribosomal RNA", at positions 90 to 775 of the family's 1533-position model. The record is from RNAcentral. Lineage: Bacteria; Bacillati; Actinomycetota; Actinomycetes; Micromonosporales; Micromonosporaceae.